CACGUAGGGGCCAAGCGUUGUCCGGAAUCACUGGGCUUAAAGGGCGCGUAGGCGGGUGCUCAAGUCCGUGGUGAAAUCCUCCGGCUCAACCGGAGAACUGCCUCGGAUACUGGGCGUCUCGAGUGUGGUAGGGGUAUGCGGAACUAUCGGUGGAGCGGUGAAAUGCGUUGAUAUCGAUAGGAACUCCGGUGGCGAAGGCGGCAUACUGGACCACCACUGACGCUGAUGCGCGAAAGCCAGGGGAGCAAACGGG
This 253-nucleotide ribosomal RNA is filed under the name uncultured bacterium. RNAcentral's name for it is "partial 16S ribosomal RNA". It matches the Rfam family "Bacterial small subunit ribosomal RNA", at positions 524 to 776 of the family's 1533-position model. The record is from RNAcentral.